UUGACCUCAAAUCGGGUGAGACUACCCGCUGAACUUAAGCAUAUCAAUAAGCGGAGGAAAAGAAACUAACAAGGAUUCCCCUAGUAACUGCGAGUGAAGCGGGAAAAGCUCAAAUUUAAAAUCUGGUGGUCUUUGGCCAUCCGAGUUGUAAUUUAGAGAAGCG
RNAcentral lists this ribosomal RNA (163 nucleotides) under uncultured Russula. RNAcentral's name for it is "partial 28S ribosomal RNA". It matches the Rfam family "Eukaryotic large subunit ribosomal RNA", at positions 1 to 160 of the family's 3401-position model. Lineage: Eukaryota; Fungi; Basidiomycota; Agaricomycetes; Russulales; Russulaceae. The record is from RNAcentral.